Long non-coding RNA from Dermochelys coriacea (leatherback sea turtle), 5776 nucleotides. RefSeq lists it as uncharacterized. Lineage: Eukaryota; Metazoa; Chordata; Testudines; Dermochelyidae. The transcript is spliced from 3 exons. The record is from RefSeq and is a predicted model, not a curated record.
AACAGACUGAUCUGCACAGUCUGCGUGCUUGUUCCGAGCUAACAGCUGUUAUGGACUUGAAAAUCCCGUGUGGGGCUGGAAGGACUGACUCCUAACAGUGGGAGUUGGGGUUGACGUGGUCUAUGGAAAGGCCCUGCUCAGCCCGGGACUCAUACAUGAUGGAGCCGUCAGGUCUGCUCACCACCCGGCCUUUCCGGCCAGUCAUCUACAUGGCCCGCCAGGGAAGAAACAGGUCAUUAAUGAGACAGACAGACAGAGUGGGGGCGCAAGGGUGAAAUGGAGCAUUUGGGAAGUAAAUGUAAAGGCAGACACCUGGGCAGAGGUCUAUACUGGCCAGACCUGGAGCAAUAAACUGCUUCCAGAGGGAAUUUUUGCCCUGGAGACUAUAUUUUACAAUUAGGGAAACUGAGGCAGUGAAGUAACUAGUCCAAGAUCACAGUAAGGAAGUGCCAAGAGCACAGUAAAUAAGAGGUAGGAACGUCCAGCCAGUCCUGGGUUGGAAAGAAGGGGGUUACAACCCAGGGCCUCAAGAUGAGGAAGAUAAUGCAAAAAGCAUAAAUGGGGGGAUCCCUCAGGGAGCUCCUGCUACUUCGCAAUCACACACUGGAUAGGUACGGUCAGGAACUAAGGCCAUGUGUACACUAGAGACCUUAUAGCACCACAGCUGUACCAAUGCAGCUUCGUUGCUGUAAGAUCUCCCAUGAAGCCGCCCUACACCGACAGGAGAGAACUCUCCUGUCGACAUAAUUUAACCACCUUCAACGAGCGGCCGCAGCUAUGUCGGCAGGAGAGCUGUGGACACCAGCGCUUCUGUCGGCGAAACUGAUGUCACUCAAAUGGGUGUUUUUUUCCACACCCGAGUGACGUAAGUUUUGCCAACGUAAAUAGUAGUGUGAACAUGGCCUUAGUCUACAGGAGCGCCAAUGUUACCCAGUGGCUGCCCGCUCAUAUGUGAACCACAGAGCCCAGAUGUGCCGGUGGGGCUGGGAGUCCAACUCAAUCUCUCCAAGGGCUGGCAUUACAGUACCCUCUAGUGGUUAGAGCCACAAACAGCAGGUUGAGCUGCGGAGCCCAAUGCCAGAUGACCAUAAUAUGACAUACCUCUGCCACAUACUCCGGGCCCCCAAAGUGAUUAAUCAGCUCAUCCAAGGUAUUGAGAGGUAGCUCUUUGCCCAGUGCUUUUACUUUUGAUAGGAGGUCCUGUUUCAUUUUCUCCACGUGUUCUAGGACUCCCGGGCCAUGCACAUCCUUCUGGGACCCUGGAAAGUGCAAACUGCCUGCAAUGUGGAAAGGCAGGUUCUUAGAGUCCAGCCAGGGGAUGGCAAGGAACUCAACAGCCACAGAGCUCAGGACCAGCGUGAAGAAGAACCGUAGAGUGACCCUGAUUGAAGCUCAAGAGGGGAGGGGUCUGAUUGACAGAGCAAGGACUGCUGCUGGAUGUGUGUUGUGGAGUGUGCAGGACAGAUUUCUCAUGCCAGCUGGUAUUCCACACUCCAUCCCACCUCCCAAGUCUGACCACAACUAGGUAUAAACCAGCUACAAGCCAAUCGUUCUAUUAUACAAACGUCAGUUUGCUCCUAACGCGGGAAUCGGGGCUCCCCCACUUGGGUAGUGCAGGAUAGCCAAGCAAGUCUGCAUUAGCCUGAAACAACAUGGAGGGUAGGAAGUCUCCAGGUAUCAUUUCCUCAACCUCCCUAAAGAGACACAAGGAACGGCUCUGAGCUGGUGGGUGCAACAGCCGGCCAAUCCCUGCCAAAGAAGCAUGGCCACUCCCACAUAUAACAGGACCCUCACUGUCCCCGGGGAGACACCAGGAGAGGCGGCGCCUCUGUAUCAGAACUUCAGCGCCGCUGUCCCACGUAGGAUGCUAAGCAAAGCUAGGGUCAGAUCCAUUCGGAAUGUUAUUCUGCACAUGUACGGGACCAGGAUAAGCCCAGACACUUGUCCCCUGACCUUCCGCAAAUGCCUGGCUUGUCCCUGGCCUGGGAAGGGAUUAACCCCAGCUUACCUCUGUCUUCGGAUGCGAAGCCAUUGUAGGUGUGUUCAACAAAGAUGACAUCAUCAUUGUCAAACAGGGACUCCGGGGAGGAGUUGAAGUCGCUGUCUAGCCCCACCUCCGAAUCAGUGCUGCUGUCGUCGCUGAUCUUGAUCACACCUGCCAUGGCCAUGUCGUACAUGCCUUUCAGGACCUUCGCACAGCGGCCUUUCUGCUUCCCUGUGAGGGAGAGUGAGCCACAUCAGUGGGGGGGGGGGAGGGGAGGGAAGAGUGCCCACGGGGCAGGUCAGCACAGAACAGCAAGCACUGGCUCAGAGAAUGGAGGAUAGGUAACAGGGGAGCUGAGGUUGCCCCAAGCGAAAGGCAGAUCAGAGAGGCAGACGUCUGGGCAUGGGGGAAAAAAGAGAGAGAGGAAGAACGAGCCAGUCUUUUACCAGGGCUGAAGACGGCCACAUGGCAAUGUGCAAACUGCACCUUGCUCUCACCUGGCCGUGCAGCUACUUUCCUCUUCUCCCCUUGUGGGGAAAGAACCCACAGGCUCAGCUAUCCCUAAAGGAAAAUCUUUAGGCAAAGAGAGGGGCUGGUGCAUUAGUGUUUCAGGAAGGAAAACCAGUCGCAUCAGGACUGAAUUCCCAGCACAGUGAAAAUGCCCCAGCCACGCAAGGUGUGACAGAUCCGUUUGUCUCAGCUGGCAAAGAACCCCAGCAGUUUGCCAGGGCAAUCUCUGUAAAUCGGCCUUUACCACUCUCUCCUCUUCCCCCUUUUGCCAUAUCCCACUUCCCGGGUAUAACCAUGAGCAUGAGAGCUAGGGUCCAACCUGCUUGCAAAGGAACCCAGCACAGAGGGAACACAGGUUGUACAGGAGACAGUUCUUACCUGCAGCUGCAGCCAGGAAUAGGGUAGAUAACUGAGUAUUUUCCAGGGCACCUGCCACCCUAUAUGUAAGGGGUAGAGGAGAAAAAACCCCUUGCUGCAAGAGGGCCUCAGAUAUACAGCUGGGAGUCCAGCAAAAUCUGCCUGUCAGUCUAGCAGUCUGCAUUGCAGGGGGAAAGGGGCAUGGCUACUGGGCAAUCCCAGGGGCUAGGAAGUGGUUUGGUGGAAGGAAGGUGAGUUGUGGGGGAAAAAGAUGACAUGGAAAGCUACAACUAGCGACAUGCCUAGGGUGAGAGACUGUAGCAAGGGAUCUAAGGGAGGGCAAACCCAAACCCAGGCAAAGCAUGAAGUGGGGAAGGGAAAAGGAGACGAAAAGGCUGAGUAGCUGGGGCGAGGCGGAAAGGCAGGAGAUCAGACGUUGGGCGGUGGAAGGUGGUCUUACGUUUUCUUUUAAUGCCAGUUCCUUUUUCUCUCUUUCUUUUGGUUGAAGGAAAGUGCUUCUGAAUUAGUGAUAGAAAGACGCCUCUGAAAGUAAGAUGCAAAAUUUAUUCUAGCUACCAGGAGUAGGAACAUCUACUGGUUAUAAUGUAUCAAUGGGUAUUUAGGAGAUCGAUAUAUUUAAUGAGAAAAUGGGCUAAACCAAGCAUUCUCUAACUGUUAGUGAGUCUGAACAAUUAUCGAUUAGUACAGCUUGGAUCUGAGGAAUCACAUCAGCUCGAAUGGAGAGGAGGAGGAGGCUGGCUGCAGCAUUUCACCAGAGCGUUCUGAUGGAAAACUGUGCGGGUAAAGCAAGAGAGUUUGGCUCACUCAGCAGGACCUCAGCCUAACAGGGUGCACAUUGAACGAAUGCUGUGUGUUGCUGCACAUGUGGAGAAAUGCUCUCUGCUUUAGACUGCCUGCUACUCCUGCUGAAUGUAGGCAGUGCAGCAGUGCCAGGGCACUGUUGCAAUAGAAACACAAAAUGCCACAGGCAUAGCACUGCUAUGGGACCAGCCAAAACAGCACAAACGUCUGAGAGCAACUGAGAGCAAGGUUUAAGUGCAACGCUCUCUAUGUUUGGAAGUUGUUACUGCAAAACCCAGUACGUUCCAACAGCCAACAUCUUCUCUGGGUGUUAUGUGGCCUAGUGGUUCCAACCCUGUGCCGUGUAACUGACCUGCCUGAAAUGGCGAAGACUCUGGGUCCCAGUUUUCUAAGGGAAUGUGCUUUGAUUAACCUAAGGCGGAAGUGCUUGCCCACAAGGCAAAGGCCAGUGACAAAACAUGGAACACACUGGGGGUCUAGGUGGAUGGAAAAAUCAGAAGAGGUGGAAAUCAAAUGGAUGCUUUGGUGGGCUGUACUGCAAACGAAAGAGUAAAUGCUUCAAUGCUGGCUGGAUUGGGAGGGACUGGGCCAUGUGCAAUGAAAAGGCAGCGCUGAAUGAACUUGGGCUGAAACAAAUGUUGAAAGCAACAGCUGAGAGGUAUGGGCAUGAUUCCCACCUGCUGUGAGACAGGGGUACUUGGGGAAUAGAGGAGGGGCUCUCAGACCAGACUGGUCCACCAGGAACGGUGCUACAGGGACAGAGAGACACCACCAGACCCUGGAGGAACAGAGGAGGUAGGAACAAUUGCUAUUAUGUGGUACUGGAAAGGCCCUUUGCCCUCAGUGCCGGGCUGACUCUGGGUACAGAGCUGAGACCCAGAGAAGGCUGAGAGUCACUUUGGUUCCUUCAAGCCAGGAUUCAGGUUCUGAGUUUCCUCGCCAUGAAAUCCAGCUUGCUAUUCUUCUGACCAUCUGUGUUUUCUCCUUCUCCUCCACUGGAAUCCCCAUUAACAAAGUUUUAUAGACUCCCCUGCACAAACAGCAAGCAGCCCUUCCCUUCUUGUUUUGUCAGCAACUGCUCCUUUGCAAACACACUCCUCUAAGAAUACCCGCCUACCGCUGAAGGGCUUCAGAACCAGGGAGUUGCAAUCGGACACUGUGAAGCAGGCACAUUAGGAGAUGGUACUGCGCAGCAAGUAAACGUCUGCCCCGCAGGAGGGGGACGGAGCUAGACAGCACAAGUGGUCACUAACAGCACCACCUUUGAACAAGGAGUCAGAGGAGACCAUUAUGAUCCUCUACUACGACCUCUUCUGGCCUGUGUUACGCAGAUAUCCAACUCAAGUGAGAAAUCAACUUAGCUGCUGGAGUUUGACUUGCUUCAAUUCUACAGCAGUUAACAAGCGAGUAUUUGCUCUGGGGGAGUGGGGUGGAAUAGGCCAAAACUGAGAUAUCCUGGAGGAGCAGGGAUGUUUGGCACUUCGAUAGCUCACACCAAGUCUAGCUCACUCCAGUUGUUUUUAUCAGCAAUAAAAACUGAUGCAAACAAAAAUAAUCUAACACCAGCCAUGCUGAUUGCACAGGCCCUAAAGAAACGUAACUCACCUGGGUCUUAUCCCAGUCAGGCAGUUUGGCUUCCUGCCACCUGAUGUGCAGGGGCAGCUAGGUUCAUGGAAUACGGGAUAAUCUUCAAAAGCACCUAAGUGAGUUAGGUGCCUAAGUCUCAUUGAAAGCCAAGGAUUUAGGCUCCUACAGUGCCCACGAUACUUUGAAAAAUGGGACUCAGUGCUUUUUAAGAUGUUCCCCAUCGUCCACAGCUGACUGUGCACUGGGUACAAUCAGCUCUCAAAUUAACUGAGGCAGAAAUACAUAAAUCAAACCACCACAAACUAGUGCGUUACUGGGAGAAGGCAAUCUAAUGCUAUGUUCUGCUUUGGACUGAUAUUGAAAGACAAAAUUCUUGAAACCAGGAUUUUUGGUGGGACAAAAAGAGAUAGUCCAAAAUCCAGGGAUGCCAUCUCACCUUACAGCAUGUUUGUAAGGUCUCAAGAUCUGUCUCUGAAUCAUAUUAUUGCUCACUUAUUUUUAAUCCUACUUUUCACA